GACGAACGCUGGCGGCGUGCUUAACACAUGCAAGUCGUACGGUAAGGCCCUUUCGGGGGUACACGAGUGGCGAACGGGUGAGUAACACGUGAGUAACCUGCCCACAACUUUGGGAUAACGCUAGGAAACUGGUGCUAAUACUGGAUAUGUGCUCCUGCUGCAUUGUGGGGGUUGGAAAGCUCCGGCGGUUGUGGAUGGACUCGCGGCCUAUCAGCUUGUUGGUGGGGUAGUGGCCUACCAAGGCGGCGACGGGUAGCCGGCCUGAGAGGGUGACCGGCCACAUUGGGACUGAGAUACGGCCCAGACUCCUACGGGAGGCAGCAGUGGGGAAUAUUGAACAAUGGGCGCAAGCCUGAUGCAGCAGCGCCGAGUGCGGGAUGACGGCCUUCGGGUUGUAAACCGCUUUCAGCAGGGACGAAGCUUUUUGUGACGGUACCUGCAGAAGAAGCACCGGCUAACUACGUG
This 465-nucleotide ribosomal RNA is filed under the name uncultured bacterium. Its description in RNAcentral is "partial 16S ribosomal RNA". It matches the Rfam family "Bacterial small subunit ribosomal RNA", at positions 28 to 507 of the family's 1533-position model. The record is from RNAcentral.